UGCUGCUGACUUUGCCAGAAAAGUGCUGUGCUAAUUUGUCCCCUCAAAAGCUGCCCUUCCUGACGCCGAAUGUGAAAAGAGAAGGGAGAUGUGUGAAAAAAAAUAAGAGCAAGGAAAUGUGAGAGAAGGGGACAUGGAAAGACAAAACGAUGGCUCCUAAGCAUAUAAGAAUGUAUGCCCCUAGGUGACAGAUUUCGGACCAGAAAGUCAUGAUUUCAAGUCUCAGCCCAUGAUUUGGGCUCUCAUCUAAUCUGGACAUUGUAGCACUAGGUCAAAAGUGGAAAUGAUUUUGCCAUCUCAUUCUGCUUCCAGUGGUCAGAUGCCCAUAAGAAAACACCACCACAACAGGUACCUAAUUAGCACCUAUGCUGGAUAUAUAAGUGAAGAAGC
Molecule: long non-coding RNA, 390 nt
Organism: Alligator sinensis (Chinese alligator)
Lineage: Eukaryota; Metazoa; Chordata; Crocodylia; Alligatoridae
Exons: 3
Source: RefSeq, a predicted model, not a curated record